This 200-nucleotide ribosomal RNA is filed under the name uncultured bacterium. Its description in RNAcentral is "partial 16S ribosomal RNA". It matches the Rfam family "Bacterial small subunit ribosomal RNA", at positions 135 to 334 of the family's 1533-position model. The record is from RNAcentral.
AGUGGGGAGUAACUAGCCGAAAGGUUAGCUAAUACCGCAUACGUCUCCGAGGGGCAUCCCUUGGCGAUAAAAGGAGCAAUCCGCUCGAUGACGGGACCGCGUCCCAUUAGCUAGAUGGUGGGGUAACGGCCUACCAUGGCACCGAUGGGUAGCUGGUUUGAGAGAGCGACCAGCCACACUGGGACUGAGAAACGGCCCAG